AGAAUUAGAUCAGACAUUGACUCUUCUCUUAGAUUUAAAGGUUAAGGAAUGUUACUGCAGUUCUCUGUUGCGUGGGUGCUCUUGCUAUCACCAGGAAUCUCCAUCAUGUUAAUAAGGACAACCUAAGAGAAAGAGCCUGAUGUUUGCUAUUUGUGGUGGGUCUCAUCCAGCUUAAUCAUGAUCGAUAGAGUUCACUGGAUCGAGAAAGCAAAGCUUGUCAAGUUCAUCUUGGACUCUCAGAUAGACCCGAAGAUGCUGUUGAUAUCUUCCACACCUACUUUGGAGUUGCGGGGCUCUCUCUCUUCUGGAGUAUCCUGGAGUCAAAUCAAUUGAUCCUGCCUACGCAAAGAGUUUGUGUGUCAAUUGAUUCUUCAUCAGAAUUCAGAUGUAGGGUAGUAGCCUAGUAGGUAUUAGAAGUAGAUAAUAUUAGAAGUAGAUGUAGGGUCAAGCAUAUGCUGCAAUAUCUUUACUAUUCA
This is a long non-coding RNA of Camelina sativa (false flax), 476 nucleotides long. RefSeq lists it as uncharacterized. Lineage: Eukaryota; Viridiplantae; Streptophyta; Magnoliopsida; Brassicales; Brassicaceae. The record is from RefSeq and is a predicted model, not a curated record.